Long non-coding RNA from Camelina sativa (false flax), 647 nucleotides. RefSeq lists it as uncharacterized. The record is from RefSeq and is a predicted model, not a curated record. NCBI's taxonomy places the organism in Eukaryota, Viridiplantae, Streptophyta, Magnoliopsida, Brassicales, Brassicaceae.
GAGACCUCCUACUCUAACUUGAAUAACUUCUUUACAAAUUUCGAAUACAAUCUGUUUUUAAAUCCUUUUAGUUCUGUUCUUACCACUUGAGGAGCUCUCACUCGAAUUUCUCCGUCUACACUUCUCAUCACCGGAAGAGAAACAAAGAAAAGCAUCCACGUUCUCGUACAAGAUGGGUUGAAGGAAACAAAGCCUUUAGGGACCGUGUCCAGCGUAAAUCUUCUGCUUUGUGAAGUUGACAAGAGCAACAUUCAUAGCACUAUUUGUAUUUUUUUUUUCCUUGAAUACAUCCGUAUGUUGUGUGUGUUUAAAUGUGAAUGUAUAGAUGUAUGUAUAGAUGUAUAGGAUGUGAAUAUGUUUGUAUAGAUGUGUGUAUAGGAUGUGAAUAUGUUUGUAUAGAUGUAUGUAUAGGAUGUGAAUGUAUAGAUAGAUGUAUGAAUAGGAUGUGAAUGUAUAGAUAGAUGUAUGUAUAGGUGUAUAGGAUGUGUAGCGUAGAGAGAGAGGGACACACGAGUGUAGAGGGAAUGGUUGCAGCGUAGAGAGAAGGACACACGAGUGUAGUGUCACUAAGAGUAUGAAUAGUUGGAGCGUAUGAAUAGUUGCAGCGGGGCGGAUUAGUUAUUUCGCAUAAGAGAUUGUUUGCUUAC